Molecule: ribosomal RNA, 253 nt
Filed under: uncultured bacterium
Lineage: Bacteria
Description: partial 16S ribosomal RNA
Rfam family: Bacterial small subunit ribosomal RNA
Source: RNAcentral
CACGUAGGGCGCAAGCGUUGUCCGGAAUUAUUGGGCGUAAAGAGCUCGUAGGCGGUCUGUUGCGUCCGCUGUGAAAACUCGGGGCUUAACCCCGAGCCUGCAGUGGAUACGGGCAGACUAGAGGUAGGUAGGGGAGAAUGGAAUUCCCGGUGUAGCGGUGAAAUGCGCAGAUAUCAGGAAGAACACCCGUGGCGAAGGCGGCUCUCUGGGACGGUACUGACGCUGAGGCACGAAAGCGUGGGGAGCAAACAGG